Molecule: ribosomal RNA, 494 nt
Filed under: uncultured bacterium
Lineage: Bacteria
Description: partial 16S ribosomal RNA
Rfam family: Bacterial small subunit ribosomal RNA
Source: RNAcentral
GACGAACGCUGGCGGCGUGCUUAACACAUGCAAGUCGAACGGUGAAGCGCCUUCCUUUUUGGUGGGUGUGGAUGAGUGGCGAACGGGUGAGUAACACGUGAGUAACCUGCCCCCUUCUUCUGGAUAACCGCAUGAAAGUGUGGCUAAUACGGGAUAUUCUGGGUCUGUCGCAUGAUGGGUCUGGGAAAGAUAUUGUUUCGGUGGGGGAUGGGCUCGCGGCCUAUCAGCUUGUUGGUGGGGUGAUGGCCUACCAAGGCGGUGACGGGUAGCCGGCCUGGGAGGGUGGACGGUCACACUGGGACUGAGACACGGCCCAGACCCCUACGGGAGGCAGCAGUGGGGAAUAUUGCACAAUGGGCGCAAGCCUGAUGCAGCGACGCCGCGUGAGGGAUGGAGGCCUUCGGGUUGUGAACCUCUUUCGCCAGUGAAGCAGGCCUGCCUCGUUUGUGGGUGGGUUGACGGUAGCUGGAUAAGAAGCGCCGGCUAACUACGUG